CAGCCGCCGCGGUAAUACGUAGGUCCCGAGCGUUGUCCGGAUUUAUUGGGCGUAAAGCGAGCGCAGGCGGUUAGAUAAGUCUGAAGUUAAAGGCUGUGGCUUAACCAUAGUACGCUUUGGAAACUGUUUAACUUGAGUGCAGAAGGGGAGAGUGGAAUUCCAUGUGUAGCGGUGAAAUGCGUAGAUAUGUGGAGGAACACCGGUGGCGAAAGCGGCUCUCUGGUCUGUAACUGACGCUGAGGCUCGAAAGCGUGGGGAGCAAACAGGAUUAGAUACCCGGGUAGUCCCUGUCUCUUAUACA
Molecule: ribosomal RNA, 301 nt
Filed under: uncultured bacterium
Lineage: Bacteria
Description: partial 16S ribosomal RNA
Rfam family: Bacterial small subunit ribosomal RNA
Source: RNAcentral